RNAcentral lists this ribosomal RNA (386 nucleotides) under uncultured bacterium. RNAcentral's name for it is "bacterial SSU rRNA". It matches the Rfam family "Bacterial small subunit ribosomal RNA", at positions 29 to 402 of the family's 1533-position model. The record is from RNAcentral.
AAUCAACGCUGGCGGCGUGCCUAACACAUGCAAGUCGAACGCGAAAGUCCCGCAAGGGAUGAGUAGAGUGGCAAACGGGUGAGUAACGCGUGGGUGACCUGCCUUCGAGUGGGGGAUAACGUUCCGAAAGGGACGCUAAUACCGCAUGACAUCCUGCCUUUGAAGAGGCGGAGAUCAAAGCCGGGGAUCGCAAGACCUGGCGCUUGACGAGGGGCCCGCGUCUGAUUAGCAGUUGGUGGGGUAAUGGCUCACCAAGGCAACGAUCAGUAUCCGGCCUGAGAGGGCGGACGGACACACUGGGACUGAGACACGGCCCAGACUCCUACGGGAGGCAGCAGUGGGGAAUUGUUCGCAAUGGGCGCAAGCCUGACGACGCAACGCCGCGU